Molecule: ribosomal RNA, 302 nt
Filed under: uncultured bacterium
Lineage: Bacteria
Description: partial 16S ribosomal RNA
Rfam family: Bacterial small subunit ribosomal RNA
Source: RNAcentral
GCAGUAGCCGCGGUAAUACGUAGGGUGCAAGCGUUAAUCGGAAUUACUGGGCGUAAAGCGUGCGCAGGCGGUUCGGAAAGAAAGGUGUGAAAUCCCAGGGCUUAACCUUGGAACUGCACUUUUAACUACCGGGCUAGAGUGUGUCAGAGGGGGGUGGAAUUCCGCGUGUAGCAGUGAAAUGCGUAGAGAUGCGGAGGAACACCGAUGGCGAAGGCAGCCCCCUGGGAUAACACUGACGCUCAUGCACGAAAGCGUGGGGAGCAAACAGGAUUAGAGACCCGCGUAGUCCCUGUCUCUUAUAC